Molecule: long non-coding RNA, 1033 nt
Organism: Solanum lycopersicum (tomato)
Lineage: Eukaryota; Viridiplantae; Streptophyta; Magnoliopsida; Solanales; Solanaceae
Source: RefSeq, a predicted model, not a curated record
AUACUCUUUUAUCUUCCCCCAAUACACUCAACCUCUCCCCUAUUUACACUCUUCUCUUUCUACCAUACUAAUUUUGCACGCCCUUUUUCACGUUUCUCUCUCUAUUAAUUAAAGACAGCACACGUUUCUCUCUCUAUUAAUUAAUUAAGGACAACAUGCCUAAUUUCUCUGUCAUAUUAAAUCUGAGCUUACAUAUUCGCAGGCUUAAUGUCAUCUUCAAGUACAAACCCUUUCAAGCCUUAAACUUAUUUUUCAAAAUCAGAUUAAUCUUAAAAUCCUUAUUCAACUACAUCUCUAUCAAUCUUCCACAGUUUUUUUAUUUUUCAACCAUCAAAUUCGCAAUAUUGCAUUAUUUUCAGAAAAAAUCGUGUUGUAUAGAUCAUCAAACAUGUUUAUUUUCUUAAAGUUUUUAUUCUUUCAUUGAUUCUUUUGUCAAAUUAUUUAAUUUUUAUAUGUUGUUGCUUGAUUUUAGGAGAAAUUUACGUUGUAUAUAUAAUGCAGAUUUCUUCAAGUUUUAUAUUUGUUCAUGUCAAAUUCUUUAAUAUUUAUUUAUCAAUAAAUAUUUAGGAUCUAAGUUGUUGAAUACAAUGUCUAAACCAAAUGCCCUAUGGAGAUUCACAAGAGGCUAUACAACUGCGAUGGAAUUAGAGAAGAAGUCGAAUGAUGAACUAGUAAGGUCUAGUCCUUCUAAAAGGAAAGUAGUGUCAACGGUGAAAGCAAUCGAAAAAAAAUGUUACAAGAGGAGGAAAGUAAAAAUUUUUGUCCCGGACAUGAUUGGAGAACCGGUUGUUAAUGAAGAACAAGACGAAAUGAGUGAAGAAUCACAUAGUUCAUCAAUUUUUUUUCUUCUUCGUCUUCUUGGUGUGUGAAACCAAGAAAUGAUUUUGACUUGUUCACAAAAAUCCAGCAGUAAAGAUCUUGUAACACUCAUGUCUGCAUGUUGUACAAGAUAUAUUUAACUAUAUAUGUCAUAAUAUAUUAAUUGUUGUAUUUAAUGGUAGUAUGCUUAAAUGAAUAUUUGCACUUUAUUAAA